This 375-nucleotide unclassified non-coding RNA is filed under the name Hevea brasiliensis (rubber tree). Lineage: Eukaryota; Viridiplantae; Streptophyta; Magnoliopsida; Malpighiales; Euphorbiaceae. The record is from RNAcentral.
GCGCGCGCACACACACACACACAGACACACAAUCUCAAAAUUCAAGUAGGAAUAAGUGUGUUCUUGGAAGCUUGAAGUUAUCUUUGAGAUAAGUUGAGACGUUGAAUGAUAUGAUUUAUCCAUGCCACAUAGAAUUAUGGAUGCAUAUGUAUGGUAGAGUGAGUGGAUUCAAGUACUUGGAGAAAAGAAAGGAUGAGGUGGACCAAAAUUAGUAUGGACUAACUUGGUAAAGAAACUGAUUUAGUAUUGCCAUAACUUAUAGCAAGUUUGGCCCAAAGCAAACUGAUUCAAUCAAGUUUGCUAUGGGGUCUUAUAUUUAGAGGGUGUUUUAUAAGCUAUAAUUUUAAGCUGACUUGUUUGUUCAAGACAUUUUUA